Molecule: ribosomal RNA, 363 nt
Filed under: uncultured bacterium
Lineage: Bacteria
Description: bacterial SSU rRNA
Rfam family: Bacterial small subunit ribosomal RNA
Source: RNAcentral
AAUGAACGCUGGCGGCGCGCCUAAUACAUGCAAGUCGAGCGAGAAGACGUAGCAAUACGUUUGUAAAGCGGCGAACGGGUGAGGAAUACAUGGGUAACCUACCCUCGAGUGGGGAAUAACUAGCCGAAGGUUAGCUAAUACCGCGUACGCUUCUUGGACUUCGGUUCAGGGAGGAAAGCGAUACCGUGGGUAUCGCGCUCUUGGAUGGGCUCAUGUCCUAUCAGCUUGUUGGGAGGUAACGGCUCACCAAGGCUUCGACGGGUAGCUGGUCUGAGAGGACGAUCAGCCACACUGGCACUGCGACACGGGCCAGACUCCUACGGGAGGCAGCAGUAAGGAAUAUUGCGCAAUGGGCGAAAGCCU